RNAcentral lists this ribosomal RNA (177 nucleotides) under Escherichia coli. RNAcentral's name for it is "partial 16S ribosomal RNA". It matches the Rfam family "Bacterial small subunit ribosomal RNA", at positions 1 to 171 of the family's 1533-position model. RNAcentral also lists the same sequence under 2 other names. The record is from RNAcentral. Lineage: Bacteria; Pseudomonadati; Pseudomonadota; Gammaproteobacteria; Enterobacterales; Enterobacteriaceae.
AAAUUGAAGAGUUUGAUCAUGGCUCAGAUUGAACGCUGGCGGCAGGCCUAACACAUGCAAGUCGAACGGUAACAGGAAGCAGCUUGCUGCUUUGCUGACGAGUGGCGGACGGGUGAGUAAUGUCUGGGAAACUGCCUGAUGGAGGGGGAUAACUACUGGAAACGGUAGCUAAUACCG